GUUAGGAAUAUUGGACAAUGGGCGCAAGCCUGAUCCAGCCAUGCCGCGUGUGUGAAGAAGGUCUUCGGAUUGUAAAGCACUUUAAGUUGGGAGGAAGGGCAGUAAGUUAAUACCUUGCUGUUUUGACGUUACCGACAGAAUAAGCACCGGCUAACUUCGUGCCAGCAGCCGCGGUAAUACGAAGGGUGCAAGCGUUAAUCGGAAUUACUGGGCGUAAAGCGCGCGUAGGUGGUUUUGUAAGUUGGAGGUGAAAUCCCCGGGCUCAACCUGGGAACUGCCUCCAAAACUGCAUGACUAGAGUACGGUAGAGGGUAGUGGAAUUUCCUGUGUAGCGGUGAAAUGCGUAGAUAUAGGAAGGAACACCAGUGGCGAAGGCGACUACCUGGACUGAUACUGACACUGAGGUGCGAAAGCGUGGGGAGCAAACAGGAUUAGAUACCCUUGUAGUCC
Molecule: ribosomal RNA, 450 nt
Filed under: uncultured bacterium
Lineage: Bacteria
Description: partial 16S ribosomal RNA
Rfam family: Bacterial small subunit ribosomal RNA
Source: RNAcentral